UGAAGGUGCAGCUGCAGUUG
This 20-nucleotide unclassified non-coding RNA is filed under the name Mus musculus (house mouse). RNAcentral's name for it is "oocyte_clustered_small_RNA6645". The record is from RNAcentral. Lineage: Eukaryota; Metazoa; Chordata; Mammalia; Rodentia; Muridae.